GACGAACGCUGGCGGCGUGCCUAAUACAUGCAAGUCGAACGCUGAAGGAGGAGCUUGCUUCUCCGGAUGAGUUGCGAACGGGUGAGUAACGCGUAGGUAACCUGCCUGGUAGCGGGGGAUAACUAUUGGAAACGAUAGCUAAUACCGCAUAACAGUAGAUGUUGCAUGACAUUUGCUUAAAAGGUGCAAUUGCAUCACUACCAGAUGGCCCUGCGUUGUAUUAGCUAGUUGGUGAGGUAACGGCUCACCAAGGCGACGAUUCAUAGCCGACGUGAGGAGGUGGUCGGCCACACUGGGACUGGAGACCGGCCCAGACUCCUACGGGGAGCAGCAGGAGGGAAACUUCGGCAAAGGACGGAAGUCUGACCGAGCAACGACGCGGGAGUGAAGAAGGUUUUCGGGUCGUAAAGCUCUGUUGUAAGAGAAGAACGAGUGUGAGAGUGGAAAGUUCACACUGUGACGGUAUCUUACCAGAAAGGGACGGCUAACUACGUG
Molecule: ribosomal RNA, 495 nt
Filed under: uncultured bacterium
Lineage: Bacteria
Description: partial 16S ribosomal RNA
Rfam family: Bacterial small subunit ribosomal RNA
Source: RNAcentral